RNAcentral lists this ribosomal RNA (347 nucleotides) under uncultured eukaryote. RNAcentral describes it as "partial 18S ribosomal RNA". It matches the Rfam family "Eukaryotic small subunit ribosomal RNA", at positions 1470 to 1796 of the family's 1831-position model. The record is from RNAcentral.
CCCUUAGAUGGUCUGGGCUGCACGCGCGCUACAAUGGGCAAGACAGCGAGUGACGAGGCGCGGCGAGUCCGUGCUGUCCUGCUCCGGGAGGGGUGGGUAAUCUUGCAAACUUGUCCGUGAUGGGGAUAGAUGUUUGUAAUUUUGGAUCUUGAACGAGGAAUUCCUAGUAAACGCGUGUCAACAACGCGCAUUGAUUACGUCCCUGCCCUUUGUACACACCGCCCGUCGCUCCUACCGAUUGGGUGUUGAGGUGAGGUUUUUGGAGCUUGUUGGUUUCCUGGGCGACUGGGGGGCUGGGGGCGAAGUUACCCAAAUCUUGACAUCUAGAGGAAGGAGAAGUCGUAACA